Molecule: long non-coding RNA, 241 nt
Organism: Bubalus bubalis (water buffalo)
Lineage: Eukaryota; Metazoa; Chordata; Mammalia; Artiodactyla; Bovidae
Exons: 2
Source: RefSeq, a predicted model, not a curated record
AGCAGCCCCAGCCAGGCCAGAGGCACCUGGCUCUGGAUCCCCCAGUGUACUCUCCAGGGAGAUGCCUGGCUGGCUGAGGAGGAAGCAUUGCCUCUACUUGCGGCAGUACUACAAAGGGCUAAGGAGGUCCUCCAGACAAAGGAGAAAUCUGUCCCUGUACCCAAGUGAAAUUACCUAGAUUAACCCCUUUUAUCCAAAAGGAAAGGAAUGAGUAGAUACCAGCUAACUGUAUGUGUAAAAA